Molecule: ribosomal RNA, 460 nt
Filed under: uncultured bacterium
Lineage: Bacteria
Description: partial 16S ribosomal RNA
Rfam family: Bacterial small subunit ribosomal RNA
Source: RNAcentral
CCUACGGGUGGCAGCAGUGAGGAAUAUUGGUCAAUGGGCGCGAGCCUGAACCAGCCAAGUAGCGUGAAGGAUGACUGCCCUAUGGGUUGUAAACUUCUUUUAUAUAGGAAUAAAGUGCAGCACGUAUACUGCUUUGCAUGUACCUUAUGAAUAAGGAUCGGCUAACUCCGUGCCAGCAGCCGCGGUAAUACGGAGGAUCCGAGCGUUAUCCGGAUUUAUUGGGUUUAAAGGGAGCGUAGGCGGGUCGUUAAGUCAGUUGUGAAAGUUUGCGGCUCAACCGUAAAAUUGCAGUUGAUACUGGCAGCCUUGAGUACAGUAGAGGUAGGCGGAAUGCGUGGUGUAGCGGUGAAAUGCUUAGAUAUCACGAAGAACUCCGAUUGCGAAGGCAGCCUGCUGGACUGUAACUGACGCUGAUGCACGAAAGUGUGGGUAUCAAACAGGAGUAGAUACCCUUGUAGUC